This 90-nucleotide non-coding RNA is filed under the name Pseudomonas tolaasii NCPPB 2192. Lineage: Bacteria; Pseudomonadati; Pseudomonadota; Gammaproteobacteria; Pseudomonadales; Pseudomonadaceae. The record is from RNAcentral.
UGUGGGAGCUGGCUUGCCUGCGAUGACGGUGUGCCAGCCGACAAAGAUGUUGCCUGGCAGUCAGCUAUCGCAGGCAAGCCAGCUCCCACA